AGAAGUUCAGUUUAGAGUUGAAACCCUAAUACUGACUAACUGGGGAAAAGUUAAAUGAAGGGUUGGGGCCCUAAUACUGACCAAAUGGAAAAGUUCAGUUUAGGGUUUAAAACCCUAAUACUGACUGACGGAAAGAGUUCAGUUUAGGGUUUAAAACCGUAAUGCUGACUGAAUGGAAAAAGUUUAGUUUAGGGUUUAAAACCCUAAUACUGAUUAAAGGAAAGAGUUCAGUUUAGGGUUUUAAAACCCUAAUGCUGACUGAAGGAAAGAGUUCAGUUUAAGGUUUAAAACCCUAAUGCUGACUGAAUGGAAAAGGUUCAG
Molecule: long non-coding RNA, 321 nt
Filed under: Nicotiana tabacum (common tobacco)
Lineage: Eukaryota; Viridiplantae; Streptophyta; Magnoliopsida; Solanales; Solanaceae
Description: long non-coding RNA (NTAB_LNC013871)
Source: RNAcentral